This 253-nucleotide ribosomal RNA is filed under the name uncultured bacterium. RNAcentral describes it as "partial 16S ribosomal RNA". It matches the Rfam family "Bacterial small subunit ribosomal RNA", at positions 524 to 776 of the family's 1533-position model. The record is from RNAcentral.
UACGUAGGGAGCAAGCGUUUGUCCGGAAUCAUUGGGCGAAAGCGCGCGUAGGCGGCCUCGUAAGUCCGUUGUGAAAGUCAAAGGCUCAACCUUUGAAAGCCGAUGGAUACUGUGAGGCUAGAGUCCGGAAGAGGCGAGUGGAAUUCCUGGUGUAGCGGUGGAAUGCGCAGAUAUCAGGAGGAACACCAAUAGCGAAGGCAGCUCGCUGGGACGGUACUGACGCUAAGGCGCGAAAGCGUGGGGAGCGAACAGG